CCCUUAGAUGUCCUGGGCUGCACGCGCGCUACACUGGAAGUUACGGAUUGAGAUACUACCUUGUCCGAAAUGGUCCGGGUAAUCACCUAAAAGCUUGUCAUAAUUGGAAUGGAUUAUUGUAACUAGUAAUCCUGAACGAGGAAUUCCUAGUAAGUCCCAGUCAACAGCUGGUACUGAUUACGUCCCUGCCCUUUGUACACACCGCCCGUCGCUACUACUGAUUGGACGUUUAAGCAAGAUUUUUAAACACUGACAGUGUGUAGUUCACGCUAUACUACAGUGGGAAGAAGAAGAUCGAGCUUACUUGUCUAGAGGAAGUAAAAGUCGUAACA
RNAcentral lists this ribosomal RNA (332 nucleotides) under uncultured eukaryote. RNAcentral's name for it is "partial 18S ribosomal RNA". It matches the Rfam family "Eukaryotic small subunit ribosomal RNA", at positions 1470 to 1796 of the family's 1831-position model. The record is from RNAcentral.